GUCUACGGCCAUGCCACCCUGAACAAACCUGAUCCCAUCUGAUCUCGGAAGCUAAGUAGGGUCGGGCCUGGUUAGUACUUGGAUGGGAGACCACCUAGGAAGACCAGGUGCUUCAGGCG
RNAcentral lists this ribosomal RNA (119 nucleotides) under Pteropus alecto (black flying fox). Lineage: Eukaryota; Metazoa; Chordata; Mammalia; Chiroptera; Pteropodidae. The record is from RNAcentral.